GUUGAGGAGAAUGUUGUCUGGUUCGAGAUCUUUCAUUACAAGGCAACAUGAAAAGUGUAGAUGUAGAGAAGUUUUCAUAUCCUGAGAAUGAUUUCGGACCAGGCUUCAUUCCCCUCAAC
Nicotiana sylvestris (wood tobacco) is the source of this 119-nucleotide non-coding RNA. The record is from Rfam. Lineage: Eukaryota; Viridiplantae; Streptophyta; Magnoliopsida; Solanales; Solanaceae.